GACGAACGCUGGCGGCGUGCUUAACACAUGCAAGUCGAACGGAAAGGCCCUGCUUUUGUGGGGUGCUCGAGUGGCGAACGGGUGAGUAACACGUGAGUAACCUGCCCUUGACUUUGGGAUAACUUCAGGAAACUGGGGCUAAUACCGGAUAGGAGCUCCUGCUGCAUGGUGGGGGUUGGAAAGUUUCGGCGGUUGGGGAUGGACUCGCGGCUUAUCAGCUUGUUGGUGGGGUAGUGGCUUACCAAGGCUUUGACGGGUAGCCGGCCUGAGAGGGUGACCGGCCACAUUGGGACUGAGAUACGGCCCAGACUCAUACGGGAGGCAGCAGUGGGGAAUAUUGCACCAUGGGCGGAAGCCUGAUGAAGCAACGCCGCGUGCGGGAUGACGGCCUUCGGGUUGUAAACCGCUUUCGCCUGUGACGAAGCGUGAGUGACGGUAAUGGGUAAAGAAGCACCGGCUAACUACGUG
Molecule: ribosomal RNA, 468 nt
Filed under: uncultured bacterium
Lineage: Bacteria
Description: partial 16S ribosomal RNA
Rfam family: Bacterial small subunit ribosomal RNA
Source: RNAcentral